AACGAACGCUGGCGGCAGGCUUAACACAUGCAAGUCGAACGAGAUCUUCGGAUCUAGUGGCAGACGGGUGAGGAACACGUGGGAACAUCCCUUUCAGUUCGGAAUAACGUUGGGAAACUAACGCUAAUACCGGAUACGUCCUUCGGGAGAAAGAUUUAUCGCUGAAAGAUUGGCCCGCGUCCGAUUAGCUAGUUGGUGAGGUAAUGGCUCACCAAGGCUACGAUCAGUAGCUGAUCUGAGAGGACGAUCAGCCACAUUGGGACUGAGACACGGCCCAAACUCCUACGGGAGGCAGCAGUGGGGAAUAUUGGACAAUGGGCGCAAGCCUGAUCCAGCCAUGCCGCGUGAGUGAUGAAGGCCUUCGGGUUGUAAAGCUCUUUUAUCCGGGAAGAUAAUGACUGUACCGGAAGAAUAAGCCCCGGCAAACUUCGUGCCAGCAGCCGCAGUAA
This 449-nucleotide ribosomal RNA is filed under the name uncultured bacterium. RNAcentral's name for it is "partial 16S ribosomal RNA". It matches the Rfam family "Bacterial small subunit ribosomal RNA", at positions 29 to 523 of the family's 1533-position model. The record is from RNAcentral.